CCUACGGGGGACAGCAGUGAGGAAUAUUGGUCAAUGGCCGGAAGGCUGAACCAGCCAAGCCGCGUGAGGGAGGAAGGUGCUAAGCAUCGUAAACCUCUUUUGUCAGGGAACAAAAUGCGGGACGUGUCCCGGACUGAGGGUACCUGAAGAAGAAGCAUCGGCUAACUCCGUGCCAGCAGCCGCGGUAAUACGGAGGAUGCGAGCGUUAUCCGGAUUUAUUGGGUUUAAGGGGUGCGUAGGCGGCCUUUUAAGUCAGCGGUAAAAGCCGGGGGCUCAACCCCGGCGAGCCGUUGAAACUGGGGGGCUUGAGAGGGCGAGAGGCAUGCGGAAUGCGUGGUGUAGCGGUGAAAUGCUUAGAUAUCGCGCAGAACCCCGAUUGCGAAGGCAGCAUGCCG
This 395-nucleotide ribosomal RNA is filed under the name uncultured bacterium. RNAcentral's name for it is "partial 16S ribosomal RNA". It matches the Rfam family "Bacterial small subunit ribosomal RNA", at positions 338 to 731 of the family's 1533-position model. The record is from RNAcentral.